Molecule: long non-coding RNA, 6555 nt
Filed under: Lotus japonicus
Lineage: Eukaryota; Viridiplantae; Streptophyta; Magnoliopsida; Fabales; Fabaceae
Description: long non-coding RNA (LJAP_LNC001960)
Source: RNAcentral
UGAAAGGUACGUUAAAUGACGUGAUGAUAAAAGAAGAGAGAUAAGAAGAAAAAAAUAAGUGAAAAUUGAAUGAAAAUGAAAGUGUAAAACCUAGUACUAUGCUUAGAUAUAGAUGCCCAGACAUAUCAAAGUACAUGGCUGAUUAAUAAUACUCACUUUACCUCAGGAUCCUUGGAAUUAAAGUCCAUGGGGCUGGCCACAUGGAAAACUCCGGAGCAUCCAUUGAUGGCUUCAUCAAAGCUUCCCUCUUCAGUAAGAUCGGCGUUCCAAAUAGUCAGGUUGGUCUUUGCACCAGGCAGUUCCAGCAAAUGCUUCACCUUCUUCAUGUUAUCUGCACCAUAUAUACAUACAUACGUACAUAUAAUGCUUCAAUCACCUUCUUCACGUUUAAGCUUAACAUGAAAAGUGAUGAAAGAAAAAAAAGGGACCUCACCUGGGUCGCGUUGUACGGUGGCUCGAACUGUGUAGCCGCCCUCCAUGAGUCUCAUGACAAGCCAUGACCCGAUGAAACCGGUACUCCCUGUAACGCAAACUGUUUUGGCUGCCGAACCCAUGCUUUCAGUUCUCUUCUCUGUUUUAUUUUUACAUGGUUAUUAAUCAUAGAGAGUGUGAGACAGAGAGAGAAGAUUCAACAGAAGAAUAAUUUAGUAGUAAAAGACAUUGACUAUAAAAGUUCUCGAGUAAUUGAAAUUUUAUAUAGCCGGCCGCCACUUACAUUUUAAAAAGGAAAACCAAGUCCCACAAAACAAAUUCCCUAUAUAAUGAUUUUCUCAGUUUCCUCUGAAGCAGCCUUCCAUAAUGAUUUUCUUCUCAUACUAAACUAAAAGUAAUUAGCAUAAGUGCAUAACAUCUAAUAAGUCCAAUCCUACUACACUAGAUUACCAUAGCAACAACCUCAAGCAUGCUUUCCCACACAAUUAGAUCAACAAUCUCAACCAUGUUUUCAGCUGAUCACCAAAGCUUCAGAACCAGUUACCAAGAAACUCUAGUUUUUAAAGUAAUAGUUGAUGCUAAGGAAGAGAAAAAAAUGGAAAAUGAAAAACUUCAAAGAACUCUACGAACCUCACUGCUUCAUCACCCCAUUCGAGCUUUGCUGGCAUUGAUGCCGUCGACGAGAACCCGAACAAAGUGAUGAAGAUGCUGCUGAACAGGGGAAUGAGAAUGGGUAAACCAGGUAGAGGAUAAGGUAUGGGGAAUCGAGGUUUUGGGGAGGAAGGUGAGGGAAAGAGGAAAGUUUUUUUUUUAAUUUGUUUUUAGCCGAGGUUUAUAAACCGCCGCUAAUCGCCUUAUUUUUUGUAGCAUACAAUAUUUACAACAUACAAGUACUUUAAUAAUAAAUUUUUUGAAAUCAGUACUUUAAUAAUAAUUAAUUUGAUUAGAUGUUUGUGUAAAACCUUUUGACAGUAAAAGCAUCUUUAAUUAUGAUAUUUACAAGAGUAUUUACAUUUUACUUUUUACAACUCCCAAUAAUGUCACAUCAUUUACAUUAUUUUAUUAAUUUUUACUCCAACCCAACAACUCUUAAAAGUUUAUAAAAAAAUUAUUUUAUUAAUUGCAAGUUUUAUUUGAACCUUUUACAUUAAGCAAUAAUAAAUGCAAACACAUUUUUCAUGACUAAAUUGAGUAUUUACUCUCACAUACCCUUACUAGCCAUGUUGGAAUUAAAAAUAUGCUCCAAUGGUAAUAGAUAUUGGUGUGAGUAUGUAUUUGACAUUACAUGUUCUCAUUGAAGAUGCUCUAACAUAGCAUGAUAAUGAUAUUUAAAUUCUAUAUGUUAAAGCUUUUGAUAAUUUGACCUGUCUCGCCCUAAGCUAGGUGACUCAAUCUGCACAGAAAGGAACUAACGUUAUAGGCGGGUCCACCUCAUAAGACUUAGACAAAAUUCUAGCGAGUUGGACUAUUCUAAAGGCUCAUUAAGUUGUUGUAAGACUCAUUUUGUAAUAGACUUAGGAUUACGGUCCUUGCCCCUCUAUAAAAGGCAAGACCUCAUUCAUAAUAAAUCAGGUUCUCUCUUUAGCUGGACAAUAGCUACACAAACCCUAAAAUCUCCAUGUUCAUGUAAGAACAAUAAUGGUGAUAAUUUAUUAUUUUACUUGUUUUGCAUUUAUGCAGGCCGACCCAACACUAUAUGAGACCUAAAGCAAACUAAAGUAAUAUAUUUUUACCUAAAAAAUUUCUUUAUUAAACUUUUAUGUAAAAAUUGCAAAAUUACAGAGUUAUUCUCUCAUUUUAAUAUUUGUAUUUAUUAGUCCCUCUGUUCCUUAUUAUAAGUCACUUUUUUUAAUAAAAAAAUUGUUCCUAAAUAGAAAUCACUUUCUAAUAUCUAGGAAACAUUAAAUAAUUUUUGGUAAAUUCUGUGGUACCCUCAAUUUUUUUUGGGUAUGGUACCCCAUUAAGUAAUUCUAUAGAUUAUUAUCAUAUUAUUUAAGGUAAAUACUACAUCAUUAGAUUUUACUUUACUUGUCAAUUAACUUUAUCUCAUGAAAUUCAUUUUUUGAUGAAAAAUGUACGAGUGGUGGAAACGAAUAAUGGUGAUGAAGAAGCGCGUAAAAUGACCAUGGUUGGUGGAUGCAUAAAGCUCAGAAAACACAACUUUCAAAUCUCACGUCCCUAAGAAUGGAACGUUGCAUUACUACGAUAGAACACAAUCAAAAUUUUAACCGGUACAUAAGUCUUUAUUAUUAAAAUCGACUCAUUAUGGGUACCACACCUUAGUCUGGCUUAAGGUACCACAGCAAGCACCAUAAUUUUUUCCAAAUUCAUCCUCAUAUUUUUAAUAUAAAAGAGAUGAUGAACUUUUGGAAUAUUAAUUUGGAAAGAGGAAAUCAUUGAAAAGUAAAUAAGGGUAAUGUAAGAAACUUAAUCAUUUCCUUUACAAAUUUAUUACUAAUAUAUAAUAACUACUUUUCUUAAUAUAAGAGAAUUAAUUAUUUUUUACUUUUAUAUAGGAACAGAGGGAGAAGUUAGUAACAAUUAGUGAGGGAAUUGAGGAAACCAAACGUGAGAUUGGGUUGAAGUUUUGUUAUUGUUGUUGCCGUCUAUUCAGUUUUUCAUUGAAUUUUGUUUAAUUAUGGAAUUAGAGAAACCAAAUGUUUGCUAGACUAGUCAAACAUGAGAUGAAGACUUUUUUUCUUUUCAUUCAGAGUACUGGGCUUGAUUAUUUUAACCGAGACCUUAAUUUUCAUGUGAGGUCUUCUUUAUAAAAAUAGUAUUAGACUUAUCACAUGAAUUGAAGACAUUUUUUUGCUCAAUGAAUAUUUUUAGGGCCUAAAGCCUUUACUUGGGCCACAUGACUUUAGACAAGCCCUGCGUUUAUGUUGAUGAUCGUAUUUUAAUGGGCAAUGCUCCAAAUUUGUUUCAAGACUUAAAGAAAAAUAUAAUCUUAUGAGUUUGUGAUGACUUAUUUCGGACUUGUGUUACAAUUUGAGAUUAUAAAAUGAAGCAAAUGAAAAAUGAAUUUUUUAUUUGUCAAGAGAGUUUGUUACACAUUUAGAGUUAAAUGUUUUUUUUAUUGCAAUCUCGUGAACUCACGCACGAAAUAUAAGCUUGAUGGUGGAGAGAAGGAAGAUCCUACAUUGAUCAAGAGUUUUGUAAGAGGCUUGGGAUUCUUAACAAGUACAAGGCCGAAUAUUAUUUAUGUGGUUGGUAGAGCUGUCAAUAUGGGUUCGAACCCGCGGGCUAGCUCGACGGGUUUACUAAAUGAGCUGGGUUGGUUUGGUUAAAUUCCAACUCGAAAAGAACUUGAGUUAGUGCAACCCGACUCGUUUAAUUCGCGAGUUAGACGGGCCAACCUGCGGGUCAAGCGAGCCAACCCGUCGGGUUAGAGUUAUUUUUUAUUAAAAAAAUUAUUUUAUUUGUCUUUAAUUCUAGAUUAGUUUUAUGGAUUAUUUUUAGAUAGAAAAAAGAAAAUUUUAAUUUCUUUAAAUUUGAGUCGAUUUUUUGUGUUUUAUUUAUUUUAUUCUAUUAUUUAUCUCAUUUUAAAUGUGACAGUAAAAUAAUAGUGUUCUUAAAUCCUGUAAACUAAAUUCUUUUUCUAUAUUUCAAAUGUGAGAUAAAAAUAAUUGCGUUGAUAAACCUCUUUUUUAUGAGUUGUACCAAUUUCUAUAAGUAUUUUUUAAAAAUUAUUUUUUUAUAACAUUUUAAACAUUUUCUAAUCCAAUUUCUCUAUUUUUUAUAUUUAUUUCACUCAACCCGCGAGCCAGCCCGCCAACCCGCAAGUUCGUAGCGAGCCGGGUUGGAUUCAUAUUUUUCUGGCUCGUUAAGACCCCGGUUGACACAACCCAACCCAUUUUCAACCCAACCCAUACGAGCUGACCCAUAUGGGCCGGGCUGGCCGUCCGUAUUGACAGCUCUACUGGUUGGUGUUGUAUAUCACUUUAUUUUUUUUAAGUCCUCAAUCACUACUUAGAUAGGGCUACAAAAUAAUUCUUUGUUACCUAAAAUUAUACUUUAUUUUUUCAAAAGCCUAAGUUUUUGACCAAAAAAAAAAGCCUAAGUUUUAUAAAUUAAAAGGAGAUAUAUACAAGUCCUCUGUCCUCUCAACAAAAGAUUAAACACGCACAAUAAAAACAACAAAAAAAGAAAAUGCAAAUACAGCUAGAGGAGAAAAUCCCUUUCGCCACCAAGCCAAAACUUCCUCCAUGCCUUGAUGCCACUAAAAGAGUAGGCUGUUCGAACGCCUGUAGGAAAAAAGCUCCACAGCCACCAUAGGAAACCACUAUAUAAAAUCCCUUGUUGUUGGUUCCUUUCUGAUUUUACUUGAAGUUCUAAAAUCCAAUCCGAUGAGCAACCACUAUAAAUAUCAUCUUGUUAAGUAGACAUCUUUUAACUAAUCAAGAAAAUAAAUCCUAAUCAAGAAACAUAAUAGGUAAUGGAGGAUCCAUAGCCAUAUCACACAUCACAGACACAAAGAUAUAAACAAGGCCAGUUUAUUUCUCUGUUAUGCCAUUGCUUGGAUUUUCUGCAGCUUUAAGAAGAAGCCCUUUUUCCUUGCAUGUGUCAAUUGCUCCAGUGUACAUAUCCUCUAAGCUGUAUUUAAAUUCGAACCCCAUUUCUUUGAUCUUCUUUGAUGAAAAUCUGACAAGCUCCAAUUCAUCUGGAAUAUUCUUGAACAUGAUAAAAAUCCAAUGCAAUAUCAGCUCAACAUGGAUGUUUAUCUUGUAGUUUUGUACAUAAAUAAGUGAUUCUGAAAUAUUUGAACGUGAACACUCGGGCAAAGUAGCUUGGAAGACUUACUUAGUGGGGACAUUGUACUCUGGAUACUUUGAGUUAAUUAACUUUGCAAUGUCAUGGAUAGUAGCCUCAGAUGCAGACAAGAUAUACCUUCCUUCUGAUUCAGGGUGCUCAAACAGGAAAAUAUGGGCUAGACAAAGAUCAUCCAAAUGGACAAAUUGGCCUUGCUUUAUGAUCGAAUAAUGGGCCUCGUUUCCUGCCAAUUUAAUUAAGAGCAAGACUUUAGCAUAUACAUUUUUUGUUUGUUUUCAAACUAACUUUAGCAUAUAAUUUCUUUUAUUAGUUGCCACUAGAGUAUGGAUACAACGUUCAAAUGUAAUGUCAAGUAAGCAUGAAAACAAUACACAAAUAUAAUGAUAGAACUUUGAACUAUCAUUGUACCGGUGAUGGGAGAAAGAGCGGUGAUUAGGCUAGGUGGCAUUGUUGGCAUUAGAAAGGAACCAACAACAAGGGAUGGAAUGGUUGUAAUGAAGUCAAUGUCAUGCUCUUUGGCAAAUUUCCAUGCUUCUUGCUCUGCCAGUGUCUUUGAAACAAAAUACAUCUACAAAAAAUGAAACCAAGAUAAAACUAAUCAUUAUGAUCGAUUGGGUACAUUUUAAAAUUUGAAGAAAAAUUCAAAUAAAAAUACUAACCCAACCAGUCAUCUUUACUCUCCGGCAGAACUCAACGUCACUCCAGCAGCUUUCAUCAAACAUUUGUUUUUGGUGCUCUACAGCGUCGAGGGUACCUGCGGAGGAUGUGAAAACCAGCCUCCGUACAGUUUUAGCCUUCUGGCAUGCUUUCAUGAUGUCUAGCACCCCGUUUAUGGUAGGCUUGAUCACUUCAUUCUGCACUUCCAAUCAAAUUUGGAACCAUAUCAUAUUCAAUACUCUCCAAUAUCAUUAAUAUUACAUUAACAUUUCAAAAAUUUUGCCACUAACUUUCAUUAACUACAUUAAUGAUUAACCUUAUCAGUUCUCUUUUAUGCGAUGCAACUGGAAGAUGAAGAUACGUUAAAUGACGUGAUAAUAAAAGAAGAAAGAUAAGAAGAAAAAAUAUGUUAAAAUUGAAUGAAAAUGAAAGUGUAAAACCUGGUACUAUGCUUAGAAAUCAAGUGUAAAUUUUAUAGAUGCCCAGACAUCAAAGUACAUGGCCCAUUAAUAAUAAUCACUUUACCUCAGGAUCCUUGGAAUUAAAGUCCAUGGGGGUGGCCAAAUGGAAAACUCCGGAGCACCCAUUGAUGGCUUCAUCAAAGCUUCCCUCUUCAGUAAGAUCGGCGUUCCAAAUAGUAAGGUUGGUCUUUGCACCAGGCAGUUCCAGCAAAUGCUUCACCUUCUUCAUGUU